This 1167-nucleotide ribosomal RNA is filed under the name Chrysis fax. RNAcentral's name for it is "partial 16S ribosomal RNA". Lineage: Eukaryota; Metazoa; Arthropoda; Insecta; Hymenoptera; Chrysididae. The record is from RNAcentral.
AUUUAAGGUGAUUUUAAAAUUUUAAGAAAAAUUAUAUAUUUAAAUAAAAUUAUAGAAGUUUUUUAUUUUGAGUAUUGAUAAGAAAAAAAAAUUAAUAAAUUUUAAAUUGUAGAAGAUUGGAUAAAAUAUAAAGAAGAAAAUUUAAUUAAUUGUACCUUUUGUAUCAGGGAUUAUUAAAAUAUAAAGUUAAAAUAAAUUAAUCUCGAAUUAAAAAGAGUUAAUUUAAAAUUAUAGUUAAUGUGGAAAAAUUAUUAUAAAUUUUAAGUUAGAAAUGAAAUGUUAAUCGAUUUUUAAGAUAUCUAGUUUUUUAAUAUAAAAAUUUAAUUUUUUUAUAAAUUUAAUUGUUGAUAAAUUUUAAAUUGAUAAUUAUUUUAUAAUAAAAAGUUUAUGGGAUUAUCUAUAAAUUAAAAUUAAAUAAAAAUUUAAUAAUUAAAACUUUAGAAAUUAAAAUUUUUAAAAUUUAUAAGUUUAUAAUAAUUUAUUAUUUUUAUAGAUUUAAUUUAAAAAUUUAUUAAUUUAAUAUUAAAAUAAAUUUUAAAAUUUUAUAAAAAUAAUAAUAAUGAUAAUAUUAGUAUAAUAAUAUGUAAAAUAAAUUAAAUUAUUAAAUUAAUUUAAGGAAUUAAGCAAAAUUUUAAAGUUCACUUGUUUAUCAAAAACAUGUUUUUUUGAAAUUAAUAAAAAAUUUUCUCUGCCCAAUGAAUUUUUAAAUGGCCGCAGUAUUUUGACUGUGCAAAGGUAGCAUAAUAAAUAGUUUUUUAAUUGAAGACUAGAAUGAAUGAGAGGAUGAAAUUUUAACUGUCUCAAUUUAAUUAUAAAAUUUUAUUUUAAGUUAAAAUUCUUAAAUGAAUUUGAGGGACGAGAAGACCCUAUAGAAUUUGAAAAUUUAAUUUAAUUAAUAAAAUAAAAAUUAUAUUUAAUUAUUUUAAUAUUUUUUUAUUGGGAUGAUAUUAAAAUUUAAAAAACUUUUAAUUUUAAAAUUCAAUAAUUAAUGAAUUAAUGAAAUGUUUUUAUAAAAAGAAAAAAUUACCUUAGGGAUAACAGCGUAAUAAGUUUUUAAAGUUCAUAUUAAAAAAUUUGAUUGCGACCUCGAUGUUGAAUUAAAAUAAAAUUUAAGUGAAGGAGCUUAAAAUUUAAGUCUGUUCGACUUUUAAAAUUUUACAUGAUUUG